CCCUUAGAUGUUCUGGGCCGCACGCGCGCUACACUGAUGCAUUCAACGAGUCUAAAACCUGGUCUGAUAGGGCUGGGUAAUCUUUUGAAAGUGCAUCGUGAUUGGGAUAGAUGAUUGCAAUUCUUCAUCUUCAACGAGGAAUGCCUAGUAAACGCAAGUCAUCAGCUUGCAUUGAUUACGUCCCUGCCCUUUGUACACACCGCCCGUCGCUCCUACCGAUUGAAUGGUCCGGUGAAGCGUUUGGACUAUGGUUUUCUGAUGGUCCGCCGUUGGAUUACCGUGGGAAGUUCGUUAAACCUUAUCAUUUAGAGGAAGGAGAAGUCGUAACA
RNAcentral lists this ribosomal RNA (329 nucleotides) under uncultured eukaryote. Its description in RNAcentral is "partial 18S ribosomal RNA". It matches the Rfam family "Eukaryotic small subunit ribosomal RNA", at positions 1470 to 1796 of the family's 1831-position model. The record is from RNAcentral.